Molecule: long non-coding RNA, 936 nt
Organism: Astyanax mexicanus (Mexican tetra)
Lineage: Eukaryota; Metazoa; Chordata; Actinopteri; Characiformes; Acestrorhamphidae
Exons: 2
Source: RefSeq, a predicted model, not a curated record
UAAACAGGAGCCUUAUUGUAAAGUGUAAAACACUUCACUAUUUAUUAAUGAGUUACAAACACUUAUAACCACUAAACAGGAGCCUUAUUGUAAAGUGUAAAACACUUCACUAUUUAUUAAUGAGUUACAAACACUUAUAACCACUAAACAGGAGCCUUAUUGUAAAGUGUAAAACACUUCACUAUUUAUUAAUGAGUUACAAACACUUAUAACCACUAAACAGGAGCCUUAUUGUAAAGUGUAAAACACUUCACUAUUUAUUAAUGAGUUACAAACACUUAUAACCACUAAACAGGAGCCUUAUUUUAAAGUGUAAAACACUUCACUAUUUAUUAAUGAUUUACAAACACUUAUAACCACUAAACAGGAGCCUUAUUUUAAAGUGUAAAACACUUCACUAUUUAUUAAUGAUUUACAAACACUUAUAACCACUAAACAGGAGCCUUAUUUUAAAGUGUAAAACACUUCACUAUUUAUUAAUGAUUUACAAACACUUAUAACCACUAAAUAGGAGCCUUAUUGUAAAGUGUAAAACACUUCACUAUUUAUUAAUGAGUUACAAACACUUAUAACCACUAAAUAGGAGCCUUAUUGUAAAGUGUAAAACACUUCACUAUUUAUUAAUGAGUUACAAAUGUAAGUGAUAUUUAAGACUACUUUUCUACGUAAUAUAUGAAAUAUGUAGUAUAUACAUUCAUCUUUUAUUUUAUUUUAGGAUCAGAAUGUUUCAUUGUUGAAACUGUGACAGACUGUGAUGCUGUGACAGACGAAAGUGUGCUAUAUCAUCCAUUUCAAACCUCGUCUCUCUCCUUCCCUUUCUGACCUGGACCUGGAUGCUUCAGUGCCCUGACUACAGCUAAACAGCAGAAUAGUUUAAUAAUGAGGAAAACUGACCAAAGUGGCAGGACAGUAUAAAUAAAGAUGUUAUUGACAUUU